RNAcentral lists this long non-coding RNA (201 nucleotides) under Elaeis guineensis (African oil palm). RNAcentral describes it as "long non-coding RNA (EGUI_LNC064620)". Lineage: Eukaryota; Viridiplantae; Streptophyta; Magnoliopsida; Arecales; Arecaceae. The record is from RNAcentral.
CGGUAGAAGCUCGGAUGAGGACUUUCCUUUGGUGAAGUCCGAUAGGAGUCUGAUUGCUAGAGAAGUCCAUCUAGGAUUCGCCUGAUGUGGAAGCUCGUUUGAAGAUGAUCCACCGGAGAAGUUCAGUUUCAUGAAGGAUCUGGUGGAGCGUCGGUCGGUGAUGGACUUCGGAUGGUGCUGGGGAGGUUCGGCAGACGUCGG